GAUUCUGGCUACAGAACGAACGCUGGCGGCGCGUCUUAAGCAUGCAAGUCGAACGGCAAGAGGUAGCAAUACCUCCUAGAGUGGCGGACUGGUGAGUAACACGUGGGUGACAUACCCUUCAGAUGGGGAUAGCUAUUAGAAAUAGUAGAUAAUACCGAAUACGAGCACAGGGGUUAGAGAUCUGUGAGGAAAGGAGCUAAGGCUCCGCUGAAGGAAUGGCCUGCGGCCCAUUAGCUAGUUGGUGAGGUAAGAGCCCACCAAGGCGAUGAUGGGUAUCCGGCCUUAGAGGGUGAACGGACACAUUGGGACUGAGAUACGGCCCAGACUCCUACGGGAGGCAGCAGCUAAGAAUAUUCCGCAAUGGACGAAAGUCUGACGGAGCGACGCCGCGUGGAUGAAGAAGGCCGGAAGGUUGUAAAAUCCUUUUGAAACUGAAGAAUAAGCGUUGUAGGGAAUGACAGCGUGGUGACAGUAGGUUUUGAAUAAGCAACGGCUAAUUACGUGCCAGCAGCCGC
This 515-nucleotide ribosomal RNA is filed under the name uncultured bacterium. RNAcentral's name for it is "bacterial SSU rRNA". It matches the Rfam family "Bacterial small subunit ribosomal RNA", at positions 15 to 518 of the family's 1533-position model. The record is from RNAcentral.